UGUUAUCAUUUUCUAAUAAAAAUAAUAUUUAUUUUGUGCCAAGUGCAUGGUUUACAGUCUAGAGUUGGUAGAAUCUUAGGGAGUUGAACCUGUGAGACUAUAAGUCACUAAUGAUUGACAGGAUUGAUUUACGUGAAUUCAUGUUUAGGCACAAGACAUUACAGGUUGGAUUUUGCACAUUUCUUUUUCAGGUUANUGCUUUAUUGGUUUGGUCUUAUGUUUGCAUUUGUGGGCUUUCCUUCAGGUCAUAUUGAGAUUGAAAAGAAGUUUGGUGUACUUUCUACCUUAUUUGAAUAUUCGAAACAAUCCAGUUGCCUAACCAUUUGCCUUGAAGCCCUGCAGGGUGUUCUCUUGCUCAAUACUGUUCUCACAGUCAGGAAGCAUCAAGCAAAUUCUCAUGCCAAAAAAGGCUGGGAACAAUUUAC
This is a long non-coding RNA of Vigna radiata var. radiata (mung bean), 425 nucleotides long. RefSeq lists it as uncharacterized. The record is from RefSeq and is a predicted model, not a curated record. The transcript has 3 exons. NCBI's taxonomy places the organism in Eukaryota, Viridiplantae, Streptophyta, Magnoliopsida, Fabales, Fabaceae.